RNAcentral lists this ribosomal RNA (490 nucleotides) under uncultured bacterium. RNAcentral describes it as "partial 16S ribosomal RNA". It matches the Rfam family "Bacterial small subunit ribosomal RNA", at positions 30 to 507 of the family's 1533-position model. The record is from RNAcentral.
AUUGAACGCUGGCGGCAGGCCUAACACAUGCAAGUCGAACGGUAACAGGAAGCAGCUUGCUGCUUCGCUGACGAGUGGCGGACGGGUGAGUAAUGUCUGGGAAACUGCCUGAUGGAGGGGGAUAACUACUGGAAACGGUAGCUAAUACCGCAUAACGUCGCAAGACCAAAGAGGGGGACCUUAGGGCCUCUUGCCAUCGGAUGUGCCCAGAUGGGAUUAGCUAGUAGGUGGGGUAACGGCUCACCUAGGCGACGAUCCCUAGCUGGUCUGAGAGGAUGACCGGCCACACUGGAACUGAGACACGGUCCAGACUCCUACGGGAGGCAGCAGUGGGGAAUAUUGCACAAUGGGCGCAAGCCUGAUGCAGCCAUGCCGCGUGUAUGAAGAAGGCCUUCGGGUUGUAAAGUACUUUCAGCGGGGAGGAAGGGAGUAAAGUUAAUACCUUUGCUCAUUGACGUUACCCGCAGAAGAAGCACCGGCUAACUCCGUG